This 490-nucleotide ribosomal RNA is filed under the name uncultured bacterium. RNAcentral's name for it is "bacterial SSU rRNA". It matches the Rfam family "Bacterial small subunit ribosomal RNA", at positions 28 to 513 of the family's 1533-position model. The record is from RNAcentral.
GAUGAACGCUAGCGGCAGGCCUAACACAUGCAAGUCGAACGGUAACAUGAGUAGCAAUACUUGAUGACGAGUGGCGCACGGGUGCGUAACGCGUAUGCAACUUACCUCUAACUGGAGAAUAGCCUUCCGAAAGGAAGAAUAAUACUCCAUAAUAUUACGAUGUGGCAUCACAUUGUUCUUAAAGCUUCGGCGGUUAGAGAUGGGCAUGCGUCUGAUUAGCUUGUUGGUGAGGUAACGGCUCACCAAGGCAACGAUCAGUAGGGGGCCUGAGAGGGUUAUCCCCCACACUGGUACUGAGACACGGACCAGACUCCUACGGGAGGCAGCAGUGAGGAAUAUUGGACAAUGGGCGAGAGCCUGAUCCAGCCAUGCCGCGUGCAGGAAGACGGCCCUAUGGGUUGUAAACUGCUUUUGUACGGGAAGAAACACCCCCUCGUGAGGGGGCUUGACGGUACCGUAAGAAUAAGGAUCGGCUAACUCCGUGCCAGCA